Manis javanica (Malayan pangolin) is the source of this 489-nucleotide long non-coding RNA. RefSeq lists it as uncharacterized. NCBI's taxonomy places the organism in Eukaryota, Metazoa, Chordata, Mammalia, Pholidota, Manidae. The record is from RefSeq and is a predicted model, not a curated record.
AUUUUUUUUCCAGGAGAAACUUGGAGGCCCAUAUUUCCUGAACCUGACUAUGGCCUUCAGUGCCACACCAGCAGCCUCUGCAAAAUUAUUACCCCAGAUUUGUAAGGAGAACCUUCAAAGGGAGCUUGCUCCAGCCGACACCUGGGUUUCAAACUUCUCACAUCCACAACUAUCAGAAGAUUAGUUUCCGUUGUUUUAAGCCAUCAAAUUUGUGAUCCUUUGUCACAGCAGCCAUGGGACACUAAUACACUGAGGGACUGCUGGCUGCUGACAGCUCAGACCCAAGCCCUCUCUGGGUAUUGCCUUCUGCCAAAGGAUGCGGUCUCUCCUCUGGGGACAGCCAUCCAAAGACUGGUCACUGUGGGAUACACAGUGCCACCCCUAGCCUCGUUGGGACAGCUCUGCAGGACCACCCAGGUCUUGAGCUCCUGGUGGAACCAGUGGAGGCCUCUGCCGCAAUGGCAUCACAGCUCAGCCUCUCCCUUUGCC